GGGGAUGAUCGGUUUCGACAGCGAAUGUUGAAGCAGGGGAAGCGAGCCGAGGAAGCGGUAAUGAUCUCGUUAACCAUAUGCCGCAAAAAAAUAAUCGCCAAUACCAAGCGCGAUUCCUUCGCCCUCGCUGCCUGAGCAGCGAGCGUGAGGUGUCAGUCCGGGCUUGUUCCCGUCCCGGGUCCUGGCAUCAGCUAGGGGACUCACCGUCCACUCCGGUCACGGGGGUGUACGGGACAACAAACAGUGACUGAGCCCGUCGGAGACUUGUCCGCGUGAUCUCCGGGGCCGAGAAACUCGUAGCGGACUGCGCUCGGAGAAGCCCUCCUUCUGCUUCGUUGGACGCGGGUUCGAUUCCCGCCAUCUCCACUG
Molecule: transfer-messenger RNA, 369 nt
Filed under: Streptomyces chisholmiae
Lineage: Bacteria; Bacillati; Actinomycetota; Actinomycetes; Kitasatosporales; Streptomycetaceae
Description: Streptomyces sp. DSM 44915 transfer-messenger RNA
Rfam family: transfer-messenger RNA
About the family: Bacterial tmRNA, also known as 10Sa RNA or SsrA, is named for its dual tRNA and mRNA-like properties. Its role is to liberate the mRNA from a stalled ribosome. To accomplish this part of the tmRNA is used as a reading frame that ends in a translation stop signal.
Source: RNAcentral